UCCAAACUAAAAAACAAAACCAACGCCUCCUCUCUUCUCCAAACUGACGCCUAAACUCUUUAGCUAAUAAACAAAACCCUUAUUUCAAUUAACCCUUUUCCGCUUCUGCUCGAGCGCAAAUCCGGCGACCGGCAGUCCGAAUCGCCGGCGGCUACUGGAUUGAAGCUCUACUGCAACUGAUAUUCAACAUAGCUCUGUAGUACAACAUUCCUCAGCAAUUUAUAUAUUACCAUGCUGCUCUUCAAACCUGUAAUGCAAUGCCUAAAAAUUUUAAACCUGGUGCAACAAUGAACAUCACGUUAGACACAUGACUAACUUCCUCUUAUUCCAAAUAACUUUCUGACUGCAGCAAUAACAUGUCACUAUUGGGCAUUCAUGCGGGACUUUAGUCAAGAAACCGUAGAUUCUUCCUCUUUGCCAUGUAAAAUAGUUUUGCAUAAAUUGGAACGGAGGGAGUAGUAAAGUAACAGAUAUCGUAUCCGUUCCAAACCUACCGCCCCAGGAACAAGUCUUACAUGGUGACAAACCUGAAUGCCCGAGAAGAUCAAAACUCGAUACUGAUUUGCCUUGUUUUUUAGCAAUCCAAUAAAAAGGGUUUUCAGAGCUUGAAAUUUCAACAUCAUGCUUUCUCAAAAAAAAAAAAGGUUUCAACUUCAUCUGCUGUGUUUGUUGGUGUGAAAUGGCAUUGGUACUUUGCCUGAGAACUCACUGACCAAAUUGGUUCCACUUGGGAGGCCUAUUUUCACAAAUCUUAGGCUUCCGCAAUGGAUUAAACUUGCCAUGCCGCAUCAUGUUGUCUCUGGCCAUUUUCAAUUUGUGGCAAAGCAUUGAUCAGGGAACAGAAGGUGUAUGAUCAGGGAACAGUAGGUGCAUGACAAGCGAGUACAUCCAUUACUCAGUGCUCUGUUUAGUAUUUGGACUAAGAGCUGCAAUACCCUCCGUGUCUUGAGGGAGAAUCCCCUACUGAUUAUUUUGGUUUGGCACAAUGCUCAACCUUAUUGGUAGACGUGGAUGUUUUUCUGCUGAACUAAAUGCAUCAAUUGCAUUCUUGUUCAUAGAUUCUUCAUCAAUCUUGCAAUGGCACCGAUCAAUGACCACCAGUAAAAGAGUCCAAGACAGAAGCAAGAAGAAGAGGGUGCAUGACCUUGAAAUAGCCACAGAAAAGCACAAGAUCCUCUCCAAAGUCCUAUUAAUAUUUGAAGUCCUCAAACAGGAACCUCAAAAAAUUAUAUCAAUUAGGGAACUUGAUCAGUAUAGGAGGCAAAUAAACCUCCCAAAGCCCCAUAAAAUCUCUGCUUUUCUGCGGAAGUCCCCCAAGCUCUUUGAACUGUACAAGGAUCAUAGAGGGAUUUUAUGGUGUGGUAUGACCAAGGAGGCUGAAGAUUUAGUCCAAGAAGAGGAGGCUAUUAUUGAACAGCAGAGUGAUAAAGCUGCAGAGCUUGUAACUAGGAUGCUGAUGAUGUCCGUGGACAAGCGCCUUGCCUUAGAUAAGAUUGUUCAUUUCAGAAGAGAUUUGGGGUUGCCAGUGGAUUUUAGGAACCAUUGGGUGCACAGAUUUCCUGAUUACUUUAGAGUUGUUUAUCCAUUUAAACCUUAUGAUGAAAGUGAGUAUUUAGAGCUUGUGAAUUGGAGAUCGAGUUGGGCUAUGACAGAGUUAGAAAGGAAGGCUCUGGGUGGUAUGCAGGUCCCAGAUGAUCACGUAGCUGGUCUUCUUUCCUUGUCUUUCCCAAUGAAAUUCCCACCUGAUUAUAAACAAAUUUUGUCUAGAUAUAAGGGGAAGAUAGAGAAUUUUCAGAAGCGGGAAUACUUGUCGCCUUAUGCAGAUGCCAGGGAACUAAAGGCUGGAACACUGGAGUUCAAUAAGAGGGCGGUUGCAGUGAUGCAUGAGCUGCUGAGCUUUACAAUCGAAAAGAGGUUGGUGACAGAUUAUCUGACACAUUUUAGGAUGGAGUUCGUAAUGCCUCAGAAGCUGAUGAGGCUGUUGCUUAAACAUUUUGGUAUCUUUUAUGUUUCAGAAAGGGGUAAGAGGUUUCAUGUAUUUCUUAAUAGUGCUUAUGAAGGUUCUGAGUUGAUUGAGAAGCACCCUUUGACUGUUUGGAGAGAACAGGUUCUAAGCUUUGUUGGAUACAGAAAGAAGAAGGAAACAAUGGAUACUAUUGAAGAUUUGCAGGAAUUCGUGGAUGAUGAUUUGCUUGAGAAUGAGUCAGAAGAUGAACGUGUUCAAGUGGAAAAUAACGAGCAUAAUAUGGGUAGUUUGGAGGGAGAUCUUCUGGAAGAUGAAUCCGAGAUGGAGAUUGAAGAUGUUUAUAGUGCAUACAGGGAAUGAGAAGUUAGAAGUGCAUACUAGCAUGAAGAAUUUUGAGUCUGGUUUAUUCGUGAAAAAUAAACUAGUAGUGUCAGGUAUGAUGUAGAUUUUAACCCCAAAAGAGAGAGUUUCUGGCCCCCUAUUUGGGUUGGUUACCAAGAUGAUGACCAUAUUGGUUUAUAUGAAUGCUCUGAACUCUGAAGUUAAUAGUUGCUCCUGUUGUCGUGCAUUGUCCGUGGAUGGUUCUACAACCGUUUAAUCACACAUUCUCACUAAAGUUAUGGCUGAAGUUGAUCUGCUAGCAGAUUUCUUAGAACAAGUUUUGGUCUUCAAGAUGUUAUCAUCAAGGACAUGAUGAAGGUGAAUGAUGUGAAGCUAUACAAUUGAACUCAUAUGGAAUUGCUUCUCCAGGAGAACAACAAAGCUGUUCGAUAUAUCUUUGACAAGAUGACAAUAGACACAUGACCUUAGAACAGUGCUGAAUGAAAGAUGUGGCACGGUGGAAUCAUGGCAGGUCAACAUCAGGUUCAAAUACUGAGAAAGAAGACUUUUUUUUUUUUUUUUUUUUUUUUCUGAUUAAAAAAAGAAGUGAAAUUUAAUAGUGUCAUUGACGAAGCAGAUUGUGAAGCAUGUGAUUCUGAUCUGUGACAAACUGGAUGAUAAUAAAAUACUGUAAGCCACCAUUUAUCUCCUCAAUUUUAGGGGUGCAAAUGGGCCAAUUAAUUAGCAUGUGGUUUUUUACUAGUGAAUGAUUAUAAAAAAAAAGUACGCCAGUUUAAAUAAAAGCAUUUUUUCCAUCUA
Molecule: RNA transcript, 3106 nt
Organism: Nicotiana attenuata
Lineage: Eukaryota; Viridiplantae; Streptophyta; Magnoliopsida; Solanales; Solanaceae
Gene name: protein ROOT PRIMORDIUM DEFECTIVE 1
Exons: 8
Source: RefSeq, a predicted model, not a curated record